RNAcentral lists this long non-coding RNA (1571 nucleotides) under Pelobates cultripes (western spadefoot toad). Lineage: Eukaryota; Metazoa; Chordata; Amphibia; Anura; Pelobatidae. The record is from RNAcentral.
AAAGGGCUAUAAUCACUACAGUGGUUCUUACAGCUUCAAGGAAGGAAUAGCGGAGAUACCUAGUCGGGGAAUCGGAGCUCUGCUUGACGCUGUCCCCCUGUGUUCAUGCCCUGCCUGUCCUGUAUCCAGAGGCCUUCCCUGCCUGUCCUGUAUCUAGAGGUCUGCCCUGCCUGUCCUGUAUCCAGAGGCCUUCCCUGACGGUCCUGUAUCCAGAGGCGUGCCCUGCGUGUCCUGUAUCCAGAGGCCUUCCCUGCCUGUCCUGUAUCUAGAGGUCUGCCCUGCCUGUCCUGUAUCUAGAGGUCUGCCCUGCCUGUCCUGUAUCCAGAGGUCUGCCCUGCCUGUUCUGUAUCCAGAGGUCUGCCCUGCGUGCCUGUAUCCUUCCCUGCCUGUCCUGUAUCCAGAGGUCUGCCCUGCGUGCCUGUAUCCUUCCCUGCCUGUCCUGUAUCCAGAGGCCUGCCCUGCCUGUCCUGUAUCCAGAGGCCUGCCCUGCCUGUCCUGUAUCCAGAGGCCUGCCCUGCCUGUCCUGUAUCCAGAGGCCUGCCCUGCCUGUCCUGUAUCCAGAGGCCUGCCCUGCCUGUCCUGUAUCCAGAGGUCUGCCCUGCCUAUCCUGUAUCCAGAGGCCUGCCCUGCCUAUCCUGUAUCCAGAGGCCUGCCCUGCCUGUCCUGUAUCCAGAGGCCUGCCUGUCCUGUAUCCAGAGGCCUGCCCGCCCGUCCCAUCCAGAGGCCCGCCCCGCCUCGUCCUGUAUCCAGAGGCCUGCCCUGCCAAGUCCUGUAUCCAGAGGCCUGCCCUGCCUGUCCUGUAUCCAGAGCAUCUGCCCCUGCCUGUCCUGUAUCCAGAGGCCUGCCCUGCCUGUCCUGCAGGUCCAGAGUGGGCAUGCCCUGCUUGUCCUGUAUCCAGAGGCUCGUUCCUGCCUGUCCUGUAUCCAGAGGCCUGCCUCUGCCUGUCCUGUAUCCAGAGUUCUGCCCCUGCCUGUUCUGUAUCCAGAGGCCUGCUGUCUGCCUGUCCUGUAUCUAGAGGCCUGCCCUGCCUGUCCUGUAUCCAGAGGCCUGCCCUGCCUGUCCUGUAUCCAGAGGCCUGCCCUGCCUGUCCUGUAUCCAGAGUUCUGCCCUGCCUGUUCUGUAUCCAGAGUUCUGCCCUGCCUGUUCUGUAUCCAGAGGCCUUGCCCUGCCUGUCCUGUAUCUAGAGGCCUGCCCGGCCUGUCCUGUAUCCAGAGGCCUGCCCUGCCUGUCCUGUAUCCAGAGGCCUGCCCUGCCUGUCCUGUAUCCAGAGGCCUGCCCUGCCUGUCCUGUAUCCAGAGGCCUACCUUGCCUGUCCUGUAUCCAGAGGCCUGUCCUGUAUCCAGAGGCCUGCCCUGCCUGUCAUGUAUCCAGAGGCCUGCCCUGUAUCCAGAGGCCUGCCCUGCCUGUCCUGUAUCCAGAGGCCUGCCCUGCCUGUCCUGUAUCCAGAGUUCUGCCCUGCCUGUUCUGUAUCCAGAGGCCUGCCCUGCCUGUCCUGUAUCUAGAGGCCUGCCCGGCCUGUCCUGUAUCCAGAGGCCUGCCCUGCCUGUCCUGUAUCCAGAGGCCUGCCCUGC